UAUCUCAUAGCUAUGCCAUGGGAUUCCUUUGUUAUUCCUUUUAUUUUUUCCUCAGGGAGAAUAUCAUCCCUCACCUGUUUUCUAUUUCAGCCUGCUGUAACACUACCAAGAGCUGUUAAUGGCAGACCAUCAGAAAUCUCAGACUUCAAAUGCAGUGUUGCAGAUUUGCCUUCUAACUGUUGGUGCACAGAUGAAGAAGAACACAUUCAAUUUUGGUUAUAAUGCAUGUUUGAUGAACUUCAAGAUCCUUGGAACACUUUAUUCACAGUCUUAUUUUUAUUAACUACAACUGUAAUAUAAGCAUGUUCUUGUUACAA
Long non-coding RNA from Cyanistes caeruleus (blue tit), 317 nucleotides. RefSeq lists it as uncharacterized. NCBI's taxonomy places the organism in Eukaryota, Metazoa, Chordata, Aves, Passeriformes, Paridae. The record is from RefSeq and is a predicted model, not a curated record.